This 404-nucleotide ribosomal RNA is filed under the name uncultured bacterium. RNAcentral describes it as "bacterial SSU rRNA". It matches the Rfam family "Bacterial small subunit ribosomal RNA", at positions 30 to 438 of the family's 1533-position model. The record is from RNAcentral.
AUUGAACGCUGGCGGCAUGCCUUACACAUGCAAGUCGAACGGCAGCACGGGAGCAAUCCUGGUGGCGAGUGGCGAACGGGUGAGUAAUAUAUCGGAACGUGCCCAGUCGUGGGGGAUAACGUAGCGAAAGCUACGCUAAUACCGCAUACGAUCUACGGAUGAAAGCGGGGGAUCGCAAGACCUCGCGCGAUUGGAGCGGCCGACAUCAGAUUAGGUAGUUGGUGAGGUAAAGGCUCACCAAGCCGACGAUCUGUAGCUGGUCUGAGAGGACGACCAGCCACACUGGGACUGAGACACGGCCCAGACUCCUACGGGAGGCAGCAGUGGGGAAUUUUGGACAAUGGGCGCAAGCCUGAUCCAGCAAUGCCGCGUGCAGGAUGAAGGCCUCGGUUGUAACGUUAGUC